CCAAGACCCUGCUUAUUUCUGUGUGGC
This 27-nucleotide non-coding RNA is filed under the name Mus musculus (house mouse). The record is from RNAcentral. Lineage: Eukaryota; Metazoa; Chordata; Mammalia; Rodentia; Muridae.